UGGGGAAUAUUGCACAAUGGGGGGAACCCUGAUGCAGCGACGCCGCGUGAGUGAAGAAGUAUUUCGGUAUGUAAAGCUCUAUCAGCAGGGACGAAGAUGACGGUACCUGCAGAAGAAGCCCGGCUAACUACGUGCC
This 136-nucleotide ribosomal RNA is filed under the name uncultured bacterium. RNAcentral's name for it is "partial 16S ribosomal RNA". It matches the Rfam family "Bacterial small subunit ribosomal RNA", at positions 355 to 509 of the family's 1533-position model. The record is from RNAcentral.